RNAcentral lists this ribosomal RNA (700 nucleotides) under Acinetobacter radioresistens. RNAcentral describes it as "bacterial SSU rRNA". It matches the Rfam family "Bacterial small subunit ribosomal RNA", at positions 299 to 990 of the family's 1533-position model. The record is from RNAcentral. Lineage: Bacteria; Pseudomonadati; Pseudomonadota; Gammaproteobacteria; Moraxellales; Moraxellaceae.
GAUGAUCCGCCACACUGGGACUGAGACACGGCCCAGACUCCUACGGGAGGCAGCAGUGGGGAAUAUUGGACAAUGGGGGGAACCCUGAUCCAGCCAUGCCGCGUGUGUGAAGAAGGCCUUUUGGUUGUAAAGCACUUUAAGCGAGGAGGAGGCUACCUAGAUUAAUACUUUAGGAUAGUGGACGUUACUCGCAGAAUAAGCACCGGCUAACUCUGUGCCAGCAGCCGCGGUAAUACAGAGGGUGCGAGCGUUAAUCGGAUUUACUGGGCGUAAAGCGUGCGUAGGCGGCCAAUUAAGUCAAAUGUGAAAUCCCCGAGCUUAACUUGGGAAUUGCAUUCGAUACUGGUUGGCUAGAGUAUGGGAGAGGAUGGUAGAAUUCCAGGUGUAGCGGUGAAAUGCGUAGAGAUCUGGAGGAAUACCGAUGGCGAAGGCAGCCAUCUGGCCUAAUACUGACGCUGAGGUACGAAAGCAUGGGGAGCAAACAGGAUUAGAUACCCUGGUAGUCCAUGCCGUAAACGAUGUCUACUAGCCGUUGGGGCCCUUGAGGCUUUAGUGGCGCAGCUAACGCGAUAAGUAGACCGCCUGGGGAGUACGGUCGCAAGACUAAAACUCAAAUGAAUUGACGGGGGCCCGCACAAGCGGUGGAGCAUGUGGUUUAAUUCGAUGCAACGCGAAGAACCUUACCUGGCCUUGACAUACA